Molecule: ribosomal RNA, 406 nt
Filed under: uncultured bacterium
Lineage: Bacteria
Description: partial 16S ribosomal RNA
Rfam family: Bacterial small subunit ribosomal RNA
Source: RNAcentral
AUUGAACGCUGGCGGCAGGCCUAACACAUGCAAGUCGAACGAGUGGCGGACGGGUGAGUAAUGUCUGGGACACUGCCUGAUGGAGGGGGAUAACUACUGGAAACGGUCGCUAAUACCGCAUACCAUCGGAUGUGCCCAGCUGGGAUUAGCUAGUAGGUGGGGUAAAGGCGCACCUAGGCGAAGAUCCCUCGCUGGUCUGAGAGGAUGACCCGCCACACUUGAACGGAGACACGGUCCAUAAUCCGAAGGGAGGCAGCAGUGGGGAAUAUUGCACAAUUGGCGCAAGCCUGAUGCAGCCAUGCCGCGUGUAGGAAGAAGGCCUUCGGGUUGUAAAGUACUUUCAGCGGGGAGGCGUUACCCGCAGAAGAAGCACCGGCUAACUCCGGGCCAGCAGGCGCGGUAAUUC